CUUGAUUCCCCUCUGGCCGAGUUCUACUCAGAUAAGGAAACUGACAAAGCCAGGUGGCCUGUGGCUGAGGAGCGAGACGGUCAGCGAGGUCUCCCUGCUGCACUCUCGUGCACUUCCACAGUGAAACCCUGCUGAGAGACACAGGAAAUGUUGAACAUAGUGUCUUUAAAAUUAAGACUAUGACUGCCCUAAACAUUUACAAAGCACAAACCAUGAGAAAAAAGCCUGUACCAGAAAUCAGAAGAUGGCUUUUGUCCAUGUGCAACCUUGGACAAGUUAAUUACUUAUCGCUGCUCUCUGAGCCCGUUUCCCCACUGGUUACCGAAAAAAUAGAAAAGGAUAUGCCUGCCCUUCCUAAUUCACAGGGCAUCGCAGGGAGGUAGGUAGUUAAUAUGCUGAACCACUUCAAAACGGUGGAGCUGAACUCACAGCAGGAACCCUGUCACACCUUUCCAUGACAAGGAUAUCAGUGGGGUGAGGGAGGUG
This 486-nucleotide long non-coding RNA is filed under the name Homo sapiens (human). RNAcentral describes it as "long non-coding RNA NONHSAT189440.1". The record is from RNAcentral. Lineage: Eukaryota; Metazoa; Chordata; Mammalia; Primates; Hominidae.